Molecule: long non-coding RNA, 878 nt
Filed under: Chrysemys picta bellii (western painted turtle)
Lineage: Eukaryota; Metazoa; Chordata; Testudines; Emydidae
Description: lncRNA (ENSCPBG00000023633.1)
Source: RNAcentral
CAGACUGCUUGUGCUCAUCAAAGAUCCCAUGCCACUUUUUGCAAGAGAUAAGUGUCUGUAUCCUGACUCGAUUCCAGUUUGGGUAAUAACAUUCAACCUUCCCAAAUUCCCAUUGAAAUUUCAAUGGCACAUGGUGGUGUUCUGCUCCUCAGCUGUUGUGUAGCAUUGCUGUUGAUUGUUAAGACCCAGCUGUGAGACACCCCAGAGGCGGCUGCAAGUAGGGGAUGAAGUGACUCCUGGAUAUACAUCUGCAUACCAGGUAUCUGCAUUCAGAAGCUGGCCUUGAGUACCAGCUGCAGCAAGAGAAUGACAGCUGGCUGGAUUUUUGAGAGCUUUUAAUAAGAGAAGCUGCCCCUUUUAAUACCAUCUGCCACCCAUUUAAAGCUGCAGGGAAGGUAAUUAGAUGAAUAAAGGCCAUUACUUCUAAAGGAUGAUCUCUCUCUUUGUGAAGUGCUGGUAUGUUCCCCUAUGAGAGGUGAGGUGCAAUAUGAAUGUAGCUUGCUACUGAUCAAUGCUGGCCUGUCCUUAUGACAUAGCGUGUUCUCUGUUCCCUGUCCCGUUGCAGGUGGCGAUCACACAAUAACAUACCCGAUCCUGCAGGCAGUGGCAGAAAAGCAUGGUCCCGUGGGACUGGUUCACGUGGAUGCUCAUACCGACACAGGAGACAUAGCGCUGGGGGAGAAGAUCUAACAUGGGACGCCAUUCCGACGCUGCGUGGAGGAGGGGCUCCUGGAUUGCAAACGCGUGGUUCAGAUCGGAAUCAGAGGCUCCUCCUACACCCCGGAUCCCUACAAAUACUGCCGGGACCAGGGUUUCCGUGUCGUCCUGGCUGAAGACUGCUGGCUGAAGUCAUUGGUCCCACUGGUGGGGGAGGGGAG